This 419-nucleotide ribosomal RNA is filed under the name uncultured eukaryote. Its description in RNAcentral is "SSU rRNA". It matches the Rfam family "Eukaryotic small subunit ribosomal RNA", at positions 592 to 1018 of the family's 1831-position model. The record is from RNAcentral.
CAAUAGCGUAUAUUAAAGUUGUUGCAGUUAAAAGCUCGUAGUUGGAUUUCUGGGAGGGUGCUAAUGUCCGCCGUAGUGCGUGUGCAGCCGCGCCCUUCCAUCCUUCUGUUAACGUCUCUUGGCAUUUAUUUGCUGGUGGCGGGCUUAGAUAUUUUACCUUGAGAAAAUUAGAGUGUUUCAGGCAGGCUAGGCCGGAAUAUAUUAGCAUGGAAUAAUGGAAUAGGACUAUGGUCUCUUUGUUGGUUUGAGGGACUGCAGUAAUGAUUAAUAGGGAUAGUUGGGGGCGAUUAGUAUUUAAUUGUCAGAGGUGAAAUUACUUGGAUUAUUGAAAGACUAACUACUGCGAAAGCAUUUGUCCAAGGAUGUUUUCUAUUAAUCAAGAACGAAAGUUAGGGGAGUCGAAGACGAUCAGAUACCGU